This 497-nucleotide ribosomal RNA is filed under the name uncultured bacterium. Its description in RNAcentral is "partial 16S ribosomal RNA". It matches the Rfam family "Bacterial small subunit ribosomal RNA", at positions 28 to 507 of the family's 1533-position model. The record is from RNAcentral.
GAUGAACGCUGGCGGCGUGCCUAAUACAUGCAAGUCGAGCGAACGGACGGGAAGCUUGCUUCUCUGAUGUUAGCGGCGGACGGGUGAGUAACACGUGGAUAACCUACCUAUAAGACUGGGAUAACUUCGGGAACCCGGAGCUAAUACCGGAUAAUAUUUUGAACCGCAUGGUUCAAAAGUGAAAGACGGUCUUGCUGUCACUUAUAGAUGGAUCCGCGCUGCAUUAGCUAGUUGGUAAGGUAACGGCUUACCAAGGCAACGAUGCAUAGCCGACCUGAGAGGGUGAUCGGCCACACUGGAACUGAGACACGGUCCAGACUCCUACGGGAGGCAGCAGUAGGGAAUCUUCCGCAAUGGGCGAAAGCCUGACGGAGCAACGCCGCGUGAGUGAUGAAGGUCUUCGGAUCGUAAAACUCUGUUAUUAGGGAAGAACAUAUGUGUAAGUAACUGUGCACAUCUUGACGGUACCUAAUCAGAAAGCCACGGCUAACUACGUG